This 1061-nucleotide ribosomal RNA is filed under the name uncultured Rhizaria. RNAcentral describes it as "SSU rRNA". It matches the Rfam family "Eukaryotic small subunit ribosomal RNA", at positions 577 to 1674 of the family's 1831-position model. The record is from RNAcentral.
CGGUAAUUCCAGCUCCAAUAGCGUAUACUAUUUUUGCUGCAGUUAAAAAGCUCGUAGUCGGAUUUCAGAUUAGUUAGCAUAAGUGCUACAUGUACUGUGUUGGCUUUUCUUCUUUGACAGAAGAUUUCUUGGCAUUAAUUUGUCGGGUUACUCAACUGUCUCUUUUACUUUGAGAAAAUUAGAGUGUUCAAAGCAGGUUUAUCGCCUGAAUAUUACUCUUGGAAUAAUAAUAUAGGACUCUGGUUCUUGUUUGUUGGUGAUCAAGUGCCGGAGUAAUGAUUAAUAGCGACGGUUGGGGCCAUUCGUACUGCAAAGCGAGAGGUGAAAUUCUUGGACCUUUGUAUGACGAACAACUGCGAAAGCAUUUGGCUAGGACGUUCGCGUUGAUCAAGAACGAAAGUUGGGGGAUCGAAGACGAUCAGAUACCGUCGUAGUCUCAACCAUAAACUAUGCCAGCUAGGGAUGAGUGAGCGUUAAUUACUGACUUCAUUUGCACCUUAUGAGAAAUCAAAGCAUUAGGGUUCCGGGGGGAGUAUGGUCGCAAGGCUGAAACUUAAAGGAAUUGACGGGAGGGCACCACCAGGAGUGGAGCCUGUGGCUUAAUUUGAUUCAACACGGGAAAACUUACCAGGUCCGGACAUAGUAAGGAUUGACAGAUUGAAAGCUCUUUCUUGAUUCUAUGGGUGGUGGUGCAUGGCCGUUCUUAGUUGGUGGAGUGAUUUGUCUGGUUAAUUCCGUUAACGAACGAGACCUCAGCCUGCUAAAUAGUUGUUUCAUCUUUUGAUGGAACACACUUCUUAGAGGGACUACUUGCUAUCAAGCGAGCGGAAGCUUGAGGCAAUAACAGGUCUGUGAUGUCCUUAGAUGUUCUGGGCUGCUCACGGGCUACACUGGUGCAUUCAACAAGCCCCUUCCCUCGGUCGAAAGACCUGGGUAAUCUUUGAACUUGCACCGUGCUUGGGAUAGACUAUUGCAAUUUUUAGUCUUCAACGAGGAAUUCCUAGUAAACGCGAGUCAUCAACUCGCAUUGAUUACGUCCCUGCCCUUUGUACACACCGCCC